UACGGGAGGCAGCAGUGGGGAAUAUUGCACAAUGGGCGAAAGCCUGAUGCAGCUAUGCCGCGUGUAUGAAGAAGGCCUUAGGGUUGUAAAGUACUUUCAUCGGGGAGGAAAAACAAAACUAAUAAUUUUAUUUCUUGACGUUACCCGAAAAAGAAGCACCGGCUAACUCCGUGCCAGUAGCCGCGGUAAUACGGAGGGUGCUAGCGUUAAUCAGAAUUACUGGGCGUAAAGAGCACGUAGGCGGUUUUUUUAAGUCAGAUGUGAAAUCCCUGGGCUUAACCUAGGAACUGCAUUUUGAAACUGAAAUACUAGAGUAUCGUAGAGGGAGGUAGAAUUCUAGGUGUAGCGGUGAAAUGCGUAGAUAUCUGGAGGAAUACCUGUGGCGAAAGCGGCCUCCUAAACGAAUACUGACACUGAGGUGCGAAAGCGUGGGGAGCAAACAGGGAUUAGAUACC
RNAcentral lists this ribosomal RNA (455 nucleotides) under uncultured bacterium. RNAcentral describes it as "bacterial SSU rRNA". It matches the Rfam family "Bacterial small subunit ribosomal RNA", at positions 340 to 786 of the family's 1533-position model. The record is from RNAcentral.